RNAcentral lists this long non-coding RNA (210 nucleotides) under Malus domestica (apple). RNAcentral's name for it is "long non-coding RNA (MDOM_LNC014116)". The record is from RNAcentral. Lineage: Eukaryota; Viridiplantae; Streptophyta; Magnoliopsida; Rosales; Rosaceae.
CGACCAAGUAUUGAGGCUCCGAAUAAGCUAUCUUCAGUGCCUCCCUCCUUUAGGGUUCCACCGAGUACCAAGGCUCCAAGUACUGAGGCUUCACACAAGUGACAUUCGUGAAGGCUUUUUCUACUUUCUUUCUCUUUCUUUUUUUUUUUUUUUUUUUUUUUUUUUUUUUUUUUGUAAUUUCUCGGAGAUAUUAAUGGACAUGCCUUAUUU